This 468-nucleotide ribosomal RNA is filed under the name uncultured bacterium. Its description in RNAcentral is "partial 16S ribosomal RNA". It matches the Rfam family "Bacterial small subunit ribosomal RNA", at positions 28 to 507 of the family's 1533-position model. The record is from RNAcentral.
AACGAACGCUGGCGGCAUGCCUAACACAUGCAAGUCGAACGGAAACUCCCGGCUUUGUGGCGGUCCGCUAGUGGCGAAGGGGGGAGUAACACGUGGGUAACGUGUCCUUGACUGUGGGAUGUCUUCAGAAAGCUUAGUGUAUUACCGCCUAAGAUUUACUGCUGCAUGGUGGGGGUGCGUUGGAUUCGCCGGUUGGUGGGGGACUCGCGGAUUAUGGGCAUGUUGGAGGGGUGGUGGCAUACCAUGGGUUUGACCGGUAGCCGGCCUGAGCGGGUCACCGGCCACAUUGGGACUGAGAUACGGCCCAGACUCCUACGGGAGGCAGCAGUGGGGAAUAUUGCACAAUGGGCAGAAGCCUGAUGCAGCAACGCCGCGUGCGGGAUGACGGCCUUCGGGUUGUAAACCGCUUUCGCCUGUGACGAAGCGUGAGUGACGGUAAUGGGUAAAGAAGCACCGGCUAACUACGUG